This 497-nucleotide ribosomal RNA is filed under the name uncultured bacterium. RNAcentral describes it as "partial 16S ribosomal RNA". It matches the Rfam family "Bacterial small subunit ribosomal RNA", at positions 28 to 507 of the family's 1533-position model. The record is from RNAcentral.
GAUGAACGCUGGCGGCGUGCCUAAUACAUGCAAGUCGAGCGAACAGACGAGGAGCUUGCUCCUCUGACGUUAGCGGCGGACGGGUGAGUAACACGUGGAUAACCUACCUAUAAGACUGGGAUAACUUCGGGAAACCGGAGCUAAUACCGGAUAAUAUAUUGAACCGCGUGGUUCAAUAGUGAAAGACGGUUUUGCUGUCACUUAUAGAUGGAUCCGCGCCGCAUUAGCUAGUUGGUAAGGUAACGGCUUACCAAGGCAACGAUGCGUAGCCGACCUGAGAGGGUGAUCGGUCACACUGGAACUGAGACACGGUCCAGACUCCUACGGGAGGCAGCAGUAGGGAAUCUUCCGCAAUGGGCGAAAGCCUGACGGAGCAACGCCGCGUGAGUGAUGAAGGUCUUCGGAUCGUAAAACUCUGUUAUUAGGGAAGAACAAAUGUGUAAGUAACUAUGCACGUCUUGACGGUACCUAAUCAGAAAGCCACGGCUAACUACGUG